GACGAACGCUGGCGGCGUGCCUAAUACAUGCAAGUAGAACGCACAGGAUGCACCGUAGUUUACUACACCGUAUUCUGUGAGUUGCGAACGGGUGAGUAACGCGUAGGUAACCUGCCUGGUAGCGGGGGAUAACUAUUGGAAACGAUAGCUAAUACCGCAUAAGAACAUUUACUGCAUGGUAGAUGUUUAAAAGGUGCAAAUGCAUCACUACCAGAUGGACCUGCGUUGUAUUAGCUAGUAGGUGAGGUAACGGCUCACCUAGGCGACGAUACAUAACCGACCUGAGAGGGUGAUCGGCCACACUGGGACUGAGACACGGCCCAGACUCCUACGGGAGGCAGCAGUAGGGAAUCUUCGGCAAUGGGGGGAACCCUGACCGAGCAACGCCGCGUGAGUGAAGAAGGUUUUUCGGGAUUCGUAAAAGCUUCUG
This 430-nucleotide ribosomal RNA is filed under the name Streptococcus intermedius. RNAcentral describes it as "bacterial SSU rRNA". It matches the Rfam family "Bacterial small subunit ribosomal RNA", at positions 28 to 436 of the family's 1533-position model. The record is from RNAcentral. Lineage: Bacteria; Bacillati; Bacillota; Bacilli; Lactobacillales; Streptococcaceae.